Molecule: ribosomal RNA, 305 nt
Filed under: uncultured bacterium
Lineage: Bacteria
Description: bacterial SSU rRNA
Rfam family: Bacterial small subunit ribosomal RNA
Source: RNAcentral
UUUUACCUACGGGGCGCAGCAGUGGGGAAUAUUGCACAAUGGGCGAAAGCCUGAUGCAGCAACGCCGCGUGAGCGAUGAAGGCCUUCGGGUCGUAAAUCUCUGUCCUCAAGGAAGAUAAUGACGGUACUUGAGGAGGAAGCCCCGGCUAACUACGUGCCAGCAGCCGCGGUAAUACGUAGGGGGCUAGCGUUAUCCGGAAUUACUGGGCGCAAAGGGUGCGUAGGUGGUUUCUUAAGUCAGAGGUGAAAGGCUACGGCUCAACCGUAGUAAGCCUUUGACACUGGGAAACUUGAGUGCAGGAGGG